RNAcentral lists this transfer RNA (68 nucleotides) under Aphyosemion kouamense. Its description in RNAcentral is "tRNA-Glu". It matches the Rfam family "tRNA". Rfam says of the family: Transfer RNA (tRNA) molecules are approximately 80 nucleotides in length. Their secondary structure includes four short double-helical elements and three loops (D, anti-codon, and T loops). The record is from RNAcentral. Lineage: Eukaryota; Metazoa; Chordata; Actinopteri; Cyprinodontiformes; Nothobranchiidae.
AUUCUUGUAGUUGAAUACAACGGUGGUUUUUCAAGUCAUUGGUCCUGGUUGAAGUCCUGGCAAGAAUU